Transfer RNA from Ipomoea nil (Japanese morning glory), 72 nucleotides. It matches the Rfam family "tRNA". Rfam says of the family: Transfer RNA (tRNA) molecules are approximately 80 nucleotides in length. Their secondary structure includes four short double-helical elements and three loops (D, anti-codon, and T loops). Lineage: Eukaryota; Viridiplantae; Streptophyta; Magnoliopsida; Solanales; Convolvulaceae. The record is from Rfam.
GCCUCUAUAGUAUAGUGAUAGUGUAUUUGCUUCGUAAGCAAAAGAUCGUGAGUUCAAUCCUCACUAGAGGCU